GUGGCUGUAGUUCAACGGUAAGAACAUCUGGUUGUGAUCCAGAAAACGGGGGUUCGACUCCCCUCAGCCACCC
Molecule: transfer RNA, 73 nt
Filed under: Microbacterium phage Zooman
Lineage: Duplodnaviria; Heunggongvirae; Uroviricota; Caudoviricetes
Description: tRNA-His
Rfam family: tRNA
About the family: Transfer RNA (tRNA) molecules are approximately 80 nucleotides in length.
Source: RNAcentral